GUAGACACAUUCCAGCCAAUCAGCAGCAGACCCUCCCUCCCAGACCCUCCCACCUCCUGGACAGCAUCCAUUGUGAAGCUGCAUUCUUAGUGAGCUGUCCAGGAGGUGGGAGGGUCUGGGAGGGAGGGUCUGCUGCUGAUUGGCUGGAAUGUGUCUG
Molecule: non-coding RNA, 157 nt
Organism: Pelobates cultripes (western spadefoot toad)
Lineage: Eukaryota; Metazoa; Chordata; Amphibia; Anura; Pelobatidae
Source: the annotation of a GenBank genome assembly